UAGAUCUAGAGAUUCUCUGAUUUUAGAAAAUAAAUUUUGAUUUAUUUUAGUCUUCCGCUGUAUGAUCUUGAAAAAGUUUCAAGAUCUAACCCUGAAACCCUAGAUCUGGUUCCAACAGUUCGGAUGGUAUUGUGGAAGCUCGGACGGUUGGGGAGGUUCAGAAAGACACCGCACAAGGUCAGAAGCCGGAAGAGCCCUGGGAGGGUCAGCCUCUUACGAACUUCGGCUGGGGUUAUUUUAUACCCAA
RNAcentral lists this long non-coding RNA (247 nucleotides) under Elaeis guineensis (African oil palm). RNAcentral describes it as "long non-coding RNA (EGUI_LNC075531)". Lineage: Eukaryota; Viridiplantae; Streptophyta; Magnoliopsida; Arecales; Arecaceae. The record is from RNAcentral.